Molecule: ribosomal RNA, 893 nt
Filed under: Escherichia coli
Lineage: Bacteria; Pseudomonadati; Pseudomonadota; Gammaproteobacteria; Enterobacterales; Enterobacteriaceae
Description: partial 23S ribosomal RNA
Rfam family: Bacterial large subunit ribosomal RNA
Source: RNAcentral
CGGCGAGCGAACGGGGAGGAGCCCAGAGCCUGAAUCAGUGUGUGUGUUAGUGGAAGCGUCUGGAAAGGCGCGCGAUACAGGGUGACAGCCCCGUACACAAAAAUGCACAUGCUGUGAGCUCGAUGAGUAGGGCGGGACACGUGGUAUCCUGUCUGAAUAUGGGGGGACCAUCCUCCAAGGCUAAAUACUCCUGACUGACCGAUAGUGAACCAGUACCGUGAGGGAAAGGCGAAAAGAACCCCGGCGAGGGGAGUGAAAAAGAACCUGAAACCGUGUACGUACAAGCAGUGGGAGCACGCUUAGGCGUGUGACUGCGUACCUUUUGUAUAAUGGGUCAGCGACUUAUAUUCUGUAGCAAGGUUAACCGAAUAGGGGAGCCGAAGGGAAACCGAGUCUUAACUGGGCGUUAAGUUGCAGGGUAUAGACCCGAAACCCGGUGAUCUAGCCAUGGGCAGGUUGAAGGUUGGGUAACACUAACUGGAGGACCGAACCGACUAAUGUUGAAAAAUUAGCGGAUGACUUGUGGCUGGGGGUGAAAGGCCAAUCAAACCGGGAGAUAGCUGGUUCUCCCCGAAAGCUAUUUAGGUAGCGCCUCGUGAAUUCAUCUCCGGGGGUAGAGCACUGUUUCGGCAAGGGGGUCAUCCCGACUUACCAACCCGAUGCAAACUGCGAAUACCGGAGAAUGUUAUCACGGGAGACACACGGCGGGUGCUAACGUCCGUCGUGAAGAGGGAAACAACCCAGACCGCCAGCUAAGGUCCCAAAGUCAUGGUUAAGUGGGAAACGAUGUGGGAAGGCCCAGACAGCCAGGAUGUUGGCUUAGAAGCAGCCAUCAUUUAAAGAAAGCGUAAUAGCUCACUGGUCGAGUCGGCCUGCGCGGAAGAUGUAACGGG